GUGGGGAAUAUUCCGCAAUGGACGAAAGUCUGACGGAGCAACGCCGCGUGAGUGAUGAAGGUUUUCGGACUGUAAAGCUCUGUUGUUUAGGACGAAAGUGCCUGUUGCAAAUAGUUACAGGUAUUGACGGUACUGAACGAGGAAGCCACGGCUAACUACGUGCCAGCAGCCGCGGUAAUACGUAGGUGGCAAGCGUUGUCCGGAAUUAUUGGGCGUAAAGAGCAUGUAGGCGGGAAUCUAAGUCUGUUGUGAAAAUGCGGGGCUCAACCCCGUAUUGCGAUGGAAACUGGGUUUCUUGAGUGCAGGAGAGGAAAGGGGAAUUCCCAGUGUAGCGGUGAAAUGCGUAGAUAUUGGGAGGAACACCAGUGGCGAAGGCGCCUUUCUGGACUGUGUCUGACGCUGAGAUGCGAAAGCCAGGGUAGCGAACGGGAUUAGAAACCCGGGUAGUCC
Molecule: ribosomal RNA, 450 nt
Filed under: uncultured bacterium
Lineage: Bacteria
Description: partial 16S ribosomal RNA
Rfam family: Bacterial small subunit ribosomal RNA
Source: RNAcentral